UGGGGAAUAUUGCGCAAUGGGGGAAACCCUGACGCAGCGACGCCGCGUGCGGGAUGAAGGCCUUCGGGUUGUAAACCGCUUUUGAUUGGGAGCAAGCCUUUUGGGUGAGUGUACCUUUCGAAUAAGCGCCGGCUAACUACGUGCCAGCAGCCGCGGUAAUACGUAGGGCGCAAGCGUUGUCCGGAUUUAUUGGGCGUAAAGCGAGCGCAGGCGGUUAGAAAAGUCUGAAGUGAAAGGCAGUGGCUCAACCAUUGUAGGCUUUGGAAACUGUUUAACUUGAGUGCAGAAGGGGAGAGUGGAAUUCCAUGUGUAGCGGUGAAAUGCGUAGAUAUAUGGAGGAACACCGGUGGCGAAAGCGGCUCUCUGGUCUGUAACUGACGCUGAGGCUCGAAAGCGUGGGGAGCGAACAGG
Molecule: ribosomal RNA, 411 nt
Filed under: Verrucomicrobiota bacterium
Lineage: Bacteria; Pseudomonadati; Verrucomicrobiota
Description: Verrucomicrobia bacterium partial 16S ribosomal RNA
Rfam family: Bacterial small subunit ribosomal RNA
Source: RNAcentral